UUGACGCCGGAUCCACGGCCGCGUUCCUUCUGCCCGACCGCAGCUUCCUAACCUCUCCGGAUGCCCUUGCAUCCUCGGAAGAUCACAAAAACACUCGAAUCAUCCCCAACACAAGUGAAUACCAACCAGUGAAGUGGCCAACGACAGGUUCUUACGGUGCAGUGUAGUGCAGCAUCACCUUGCGGGGACUCCAAAUUAGUGCGUACAAACCCUCAUCAUAUCAUCAGCGAUGAUGGCUUUGCCUCCUACCGGAUAAGUUUUGAAUAUUGUGGGUGGUAACGUUUGGGGGAAAAAAUCAGUUAUCCCAUCAUACGGAUGAUUUUCAUGAAUAACAGUUGAUACUGUGAAUUGAACUUUCGCUUCAAGUGAUUUUUUCACGAUAGUUUAGACUAUUGAUAACACUUUUUCUCACUAGGAACAGGAUAUUUCUGCAUUAAAUGUUCUUUUAAAAAAGUGAUUGUUCUAAAGCUCGUUCGUUACGAUGCGGGAAAGUGAUGCAUAAUGCGGAUUUUGGAGAAGAGCCUCAUCGAACUUAGCAGUACAUCAAGGAUGCGGAACUGAAAAAAGAAUGUAUCCAAACCUGCUGUUUCCACAAAAGGUUCGUUCUCGGAAUUAUUCCUAUAGAGUUUGAUGCGUAGUAAUAAGAAUAUCCAAGGCAACGUAAACAACAUACCUCUUUGUAAGUAAUUCAUGAUUUUUUUUUCGGUAAUCAGCAGUAUGGUUCGUGUCCACGCCAUUAGAGA
Molecule: non-coding RNA, 743 nt
Organism: Bemisia tabaci
Lineage: Eukaryota; Metazoa; Arthropoda; Insecta; Hemiptera; Aleyrodidae
Source: RefSeq, a predicted model, not a curated record